Molecule: ribosomal RNA, 201 nt
Filed under: uncultured bacterium
Lineage: Bacteria
Description: partial 16S ribosomal RNA
Rfam family: Bacterial small subunit ribosomal RNA
Source: RNAcentral
CCGAUGGAGGGGGAUAACUACUGGAAACGGUAGCUAAUACCGCAUAACGUCGCAAGACCAAAGAGGGGGACCUUCGGGCCUCUUGCCAUCGGAUGUGCCCAGAUGGGAUUAGCUAGUAGGUGGGGUAACGGCUCACCUAGGCGACGAUCCCUAGCUGGUCUGAGAGGAUGACCAGCCACACUGAACUGAGACACGGUCCAG